GAUGAACGCUAGCGGGAGGCCUAACACAUGCAAGCCGAGCGGUAUUGUUUCUUCGGAAAUGAGAGAGCGGCGUACGGGUGCGUAACACGUGUGCAACCUGCCUUUAUCUGGGGGAUAGCCUUUCGAAAGGAAGAUUAAUACUCCAUAAUAUAUUGAACGGCAUCGUUUAAUAUUGAAAGCUCCGGCGGAUAGAGAUGGGCACGCGCAAGAUUAGCUAGUUGGUGAGGUAACGGCUCACCAAGGCGAUGAUCUUUAGGGGGCCUGAGAGGGUGAUCCCCCACACUGGUACUGAGACACGGACCAGACUCCUACGGGAGGCAGCAGUGAGGAAUACUGGUCAAUGGGUGCAAGCCUGAACCAGCCAUCCCGCGUGAAGGACGACUGCCCUAUGGGUUGUAAACUUCUUUUGUAUAGGGAUAAACCUACCCUCGUGAGGGUAGCUGAAGGUACUAUACGAAUAAGCACCGGCUAACUCCGUG
Molecule: ribosomal RNA, 479 nt
Filed under: uncultured bacterium
Lineage: Bacteria
Description: partial 16S ribosomal RNA
Rfam family: Bacterial small subunit ribosomal RNA
Source: RNAcentral